RNAcentral lists this non-coding RNA (69 nucleotides) under Halobacteriaceae archaeon. Its description in RNAcentral is "Fluoride sequence". It matches the Rfam family "Fluoride riboswitch aptamer (crcB RNA motif)". The record is from RNAcentral. Lineage: Archaea; Methanobacteriati; Methanobacteriota; Halobacteria; Halobacteriales; Halobacteriaceae.
UAUCACUCGGGCAAUGGAGUCUGCCCCACCCAACCGCCGAACACGUCGGCUGAUGACUCCUUCUCGUCA